ACGCACGCUGGCGGCAUGCCUAACCCAUGCAAGUCGAACGAGACCUUCGGGUCUAGUGGCGCACGGGUGCGUCACGCGUGGGAACCUGCCCUUAGGUUCGGAAUAACUCCCCGAAAGGGGUGCUAAUACCGGAUAAUGUCUUCGGACCAAAGAUUUAUCGCCUUUGGAUGGGCCCGCGUUGGAUUAGCUAGUUGGUAGGGUAAAAGCCUACCAAGGCGACGAUCCAUAGCUGGUCUGAGAGGAUGAUCAGCCACACUGGGACUGAGACACGGCCCAGACUCCUACGGGAGGCAGCAGUGGGGAAUAUUGGACAAUGGGCGAAAGCCUGAUCCAGCAAUGCCGCGUGAGUGAUGAAGGCCUUAGGGUUGUAAAGCUCUUUUACCCGGGAUGAUAAUGACAGUACCGGGAGAAUAAGCUCCGGCUAACUCCGUG
Molecule: ribosomal RNA, 432 nt
Filed under: uncultured bacterium
Lineage: Bacteria
Description: partial 16S ribosomal RNA
Rfam family: Bacterial small subunit ribosomal RNA
Source: RNAcentral